RNAcentral lists this unclassified non-coding RNA (290 nucleotides) under uncultured fungus. RNAcentral describes it as "sequence contains ITS2". The stretch from base 1 to 52 matches the Rfam family "5.8S ribosomal RNA", at positions 103 to 154 of the family's 154-position model. Lineage: Eukaryota; Fungi. The record is from RNAcentral.
AACGCACCUUGCGCUCCUUGGUAUUCCGAGGAGCAUGCCUGUUUGAGUGUCAUUAAAUUCUCAACCUUUCUGGCUUUUAUUAGUCCGUUAGGCUUGGAUGUGGGAGUUGCGGGCUUCUCAGAAGUCAGCUCUCCUUAAAUGCAUUAGCGAAACCUUUGUUGACCAUCUCUGGUGUGAUAAUUAUCUACGCCAUUGGGAAGCAGCUUUAAAAUCGGUUUAGCUUCUAACCGUCUUCUGGACAAUUCUUGACAUUUGACCUCAAAUCAGGUAGGACUACCCGCUGAACUUAA